Arvicanthis niloticus (Nile rat) is the source of this 105-nucleotide small nuclear RNA. Lineage: Eukaryota; Metazoa; Chordata; Mammalia; Rodentia; Muridae. The record is from RefSeq and is a predicted model, not a curated record.
GUUUACUUUAGUGGCACAUAUACAAAAACCAGAACGACACAGAAAAGAUUAGCCUGGUCCCUGUGCAAGCAUGUCCUGUUAGUCGAUGCAGCAUUCGGGAUUUGG